GACCGUAGAUUUAACCAACGUGUAUUACUUUGAAAUCAAUUCACAAUACAUUCUUUUUUUUUUUUUGACAGGGUUAUCAAGACACUGUCCAGUCACUUGUUUAUUAUUAUGUGGAAAAGAAGCAUAACUAUUUAAGAAAUUAAGGAGAAGCAUUUAUUAUCAAGACAGUGUUAUUCGGAAAGAUUGUUUUGAGAGAUGGUUUUGAUAGAUUUUGGUUCUUGGAUCAGGUGAUUUUAUGGUCAAAUUUCAUCCAACGGCUAAAAG
RNAcentral lists this long non-coding RNA (264 nucleotides) under Linum usitatissimum (flax). Its description in RNAcentral is "long non-coding RNA (LUSI_LNC003340)". The record is from RNAcentral. Lineage: Eukaryota; Viridiplantae; Streptophyta; Magnoliopsida; Malpighiales; Linaceae.